UUAGGGAAGAGAGAUCAGGAAGGAGAAGAUCCGGGAGGAGAAGGUCCGGGAAAAGAAGGCUGAGAAAAAGAGAAACCAUGUAAGUUUCAGAGCAACAGGUGAACCCCUGAGACGGGACCGCCAGCGCUGUGAGGGCAGAGGAAGGGCAGGAGCUGCAGCCCAGCUGCAUAAGAGGAGUGGAAGUACACCGUGCAGGACGUGCGUGGGCGCGCACCCAUGUGCAAGUGGCAUGGAGCAUGCCCACGCGUGCACACGAUGCCGUGUGCGGGCACAGCGAGCCGAACCUCUGCGCAUGUGCGAAACUGCUGCGUCUCGGCGCACUGACAGAUCAGAUCACUGACACUGGAGGACAACUGAGACCCACUGAAGCAAUGACCUUGAGGAGGCCAGCAGGGAUGGGCCUGCCACGUGCACCUUCAUCUAGGGGUGGAGGGCCUGGGCAGUUCUUCACAGAUGCAGUGAGGGCAGGGUAAAUCAGAGGCUCCACCCUGACGGUCUCAUUUUUCCAGGUCAUCCGCUGGUAGGAUGGGGAGGGCACAGGGCUGGAGAGAGAGGUUCAUUGACUGACUCCACAGAGAAACCCCCUGACCUGACCCCCAGCAAGGCCUGGAACCGGUCAUCAGAGCAGGAGGUGGCCGUCCUGGGAGCACAGUUGGCUGUGAACUGCAGCUGGGGAGGAGGGGCAGACAUGCAGCCUCCUCAGGAACAGGCUGGCACCAGGUUGGUUCUGGACUGGCUGGGUCCUGCCUGGUCAGUUCCUCUCCAGCUAUGGAACUUGGAUUGAGUAACUCUGCCUGUCUGAAUGCCAGCCACCUACCUGUGAAAUGAGCCAGGUGGAUUUUCAGAAGUCCCAGAGAAGGCAUUCCUGGUGGCAGGCCUGGCAGGGCCAGUGAGAGCCCGGGGUGUCCCGUGGCUGCCCACACUUCACCCAGGUCCUCCCUUCCCACCACCCAGCUAGACCAGCAGGAGCUCGGCGGACUUGAAGAUCUGUACCAUGAGCCAAGUAUCCCUCCCUGCGGGCUGGGCGCCUUCCCUCCACACGUGGGCUCCAGCUCUCCCGCCCUCUCUCCUCCCAUCCAGCUAAUCUUUCCAGGCCCAGUUUGAGCUGCCAAUACAGACAGAAGACAGGACAAAACUAGGCGAAGGCAAGGGAUCCCCUAGAUGCCAGAGGGUCCAACACACAGCAAAGGGGUGAUGGUCCCAGAGGUAGGAAGAGCUCCUGGGACCCAGCUGGGAAGCCGACCAGGAGGACAGUGGGCAAGGGGCGUGUCCAGAGCUUCGCACACCAGCAGUUCCUUCUGUGGCCAUCUUAACCCAGACAGAUGUGUGCCCAUGUGCCAAGGCACAUGCAUGGUGCUCACUGCAGUGGUUCUGGUGUAAUUUCUUAGUGCUCCAUGAAAGAAUUCAGCCUGAGGCACAGCCUCUCAGGAGGCUGGGGCAAGAGGAUCACAAGUUCAAGGCCAGCCUAGCAACUUGGCAAGACACUGCUGGAAAUAGAAACUGAGAAGGGUGACAGGUGUGUUCCAGUGGCAGAGCCUGCGUGACGUCCUAGGUUCCCUCCCAGCACAGGAAGAAUGUAAAGAACUUUCCCUGGGACCUCACUACGUCCUUUGAAGUGUAAACGCCCCUGUGAAGGCUGGAGCUCAAGGCUGGAGGACAGAAGACCUUGUGAGCCAGCGUCCUUACUGCAGCCUGCUUUUGUCUUGAUUUAGAAGGUGACUCAGCACACACCCGCUAUCAAGCGCAGAGGGCCUGCCAGAGGCUCCUCAUCUGUCAAGGGGAGAUAGCAACCAUCCUGCCAGGGCCACUGAGGGUCCCACCCAGGCCUGCCAGACACAGCCUGCCCGCGAGUGCUUGCCCCAAUCACAGGUGGGCAAGGACUAUUCGUAUUUCAACAAAAAAGUAUUAAAAAGAAAAAUUAACGCCAUUAGUUGAAAAAUAAGUCACGCAGUGAUCUGUUGUUGAAUCC
Sciurus carolinensis (gray squirrel) is the source of this 1969-nucleotide long non-coding RNA. RefSeq lists it as uncharacterized. The transcript is spliced from 3 exons. The record is from RefSeq and is a predicted model, not a curated record. NCBI's taxonomy places the organism in Eukaryota, Metazoa, Chordata, Mammalia, Rodentia, Sciuridae.